UCCAGACUCCUACGGGAGGCAGCAGUGGGGAAUCUUCCGCAAUGGGCGCAAGCCUGACCCAGCAACGCCGCGUGAAGGAAGAAGGCUUUCGGGUUGUAAACUUCUUUUAAGAGGGAAGAGAAGAAGACGGUACCUCUUGAAUAAGCCACGGCUAACUACGUGCCAGCAGCCGCGGUAAUACGCAGGUGGCAAGCGUUGUCCGGAUUUACUGGGUGUAAAGGGCGUGCAGCCGGGCUGACAAGUCAGAUGUGAAAUUCCGGGGCUCAACCCCGGACCUGCAUUUGAAACUGUUGGUCUUGAGUAUCGGAGAGGCAGGCGGAAUUCCUAGUGUAGCGGUGAAAUGCGUAGAUAUUAGGAGGAACACCAGUGGCGAAGGCGGCCUGCUGGACGACAACUGACGGUGAGGCGCGAAAGCGUGGGGAGCAAACAGGAUUAGAUACCCCCGUAGG
Molecule: ribosomal RNA, 449 nt
Filed under: uncultured bacterium
Lineage: Bacteria
Description: partial 16S ribosomal RNA
Rfam family: Bacterial small subunit ribosomal RNA
Source: RNAcentral